Molecule: long non-coding RNA, 462 nt
Organism: Mesocricetus auratus (golden hamster)
Lineage: Eukaryota; Metazoa; Chordata; Mammalia; Rodentia; Cricetidae
Exons: 3
Source: RefSeq, a predicted model, not a curated record
UCUCUCUCUCUCUCUCUCUCUCUCUCUCUCUCUCUCUCUCUCUCUCUCUCUCUCUCUCUCUGUCCUUUCUUUCUAGCAGUAGCCAAGUCAUUGCCUUUCUGUUGAAGCCUUGUAGAAGACUGAAAUGGCCACAGAUUUCUGGGAAGCCUCACAGUUACAUGAACUAGGAGUUCAGCCUAGAGCCUACCUGUGGAUUUCUGCAUCUACUUCCAUCAGCUACUGGAUGAAGGCAUAUAAGGGGAAGAGCAGUUAAGAAUGGCAGUUACAGCUCUCUGUAAGGAACACAGUGAUGGGAAAACACAACGCUUCACAACCCCUCCAAGAAGUGUUCUGUAAAAGUGACAAGUCUUAGGGAAGAAUGGUUGACAAGGCUCUGAAGAUCUUAGAGGAAAACUUUCCAAAUAUAUCACGAGAGUGAGAAAUGAACAAGAAAAAUAAAUGGAGUCAUGGCUUUCACUGUAA